GGGCUUCACAGCUUGCUCGUGAUUUUUGAACUUGGGCUCUUGUUUGUGGUGGUAUCUGGUAACUGGGCUGGGCUAGGUAUUCCCGCCAUUCUUCUAAAGACGUUAGAAAGCAUUAUGAGGAAUGGGCAUUUGGGUUUGCUUUGAUCAUCACACAGCAACUAUUCAAACUGGCAAUGGCUACUUGUGUCGAAUGGCCCGUAAGCCUUUGUGGUUAAAUUGAUGGAAUUUAU
RNAcentral lists this unclassified non-coding RNA (230 nucleotides) under Hevea brasiliensis (rubber tree). Lineage: Eukaryota; Viridiplantae; Streptophyta; Magnoliopsida; Malpighiales; Euphorbiaceae. The record is from RNAcentral.